CACACAGCUCAGUAACACGUGGCUAACCUGCCCUUGGGACAGAGACACCCCCGGGAAACUGGGGCUAAUCCCUGAUAGGCGAAGGACUCUGGAAUGAGUCUUCACUCAAAAGGCGUUUAGAUCAUGCUUUUAGGCGCUGCCCAAGGAUGGGGCCGCGACCGAUCAGGUUGUUGGUGAGGUAAUGGCUCACCAAGCCUACUACCGGUGCGGGCCGUGAGAGCGGGAGCCCGGAGAUGGGCACUGAGACAAGGGCCCAGGCCCUACGGGGCGCACCAGUCACAAAACCUUCGAAAU
This 294-nucleotide ribosomal RNA is filed under the name uncultured archaeon. RNAcentral describes it as "partial 16S ribosomal RNA". It matches the Rfam family "Archaeal small subunit ribosomal RNA", at positions 82 to 356 of the family's 1478-position model. The record is from RNAcentral.